GCUCGCGGGGGGGGACUUCGAAACGGCGGGCGGGUAGCCCCAAGCUGCGGGUUGGUGGGGCUGAAAGCGCCGUCCGUGCGGGGGAGAACUGUGCUCUCUGGCAGAGGGAACAGCGCGGGCUCGGCUGGUGCACCUUACGCGAGCAGCAGCGGCUGUAGUGUUGUCUGGUUUCUGAGGAAACCGAGGCUCGUACCGAGAGGAGCUGCGUGGGACAGAAUGCAGGUUGCACUCCCGAAUCUGUGUGGUGUUGGAAAGGCUAUAGCAGCAUCUCCCAAAGGGGCAGAGAUCUCAGGCUGCUCCGUCGCUCCAAAGGCAUUGUAAACUUCGCUUCCAUAAAUCAAAGCUGUCACCUGGGCCGGUCUCCUCUUUUCCCAUGCAACUGUGUGCCUGUUGGAAACGUAGCUUGGCUCCUAAUCUAACAAUAUCCUCUUAUCUUGACUUUUCUUUCCAUUUCUGUUCCAAACCAAAUUAAGACACACCAACUUUAUGUUAAAACAGAGACUGCAUUCAAAUCCUUUGUAUUAAAUAGCAUCUGUGUUUGCAUUCUGUUUUAAUACAAAAUGCUUUGGAUUGCAGCUAAUACCAGGAGAUAUGAAACUGGUUAGUCCCCACAUGUUGCACAUAAAAAGAAUUCAUAAUGAGCAUCUGUGGGAUGUGGAAUGGAUCCCAUGAGUUAGCUGAAGACCUCAUAACGUAAGAGCUGAGAAGCCUAAGUGAAUUAUGACUCUCUUUCCUCGCAAGUAGGAUUAAUUUUCUAUCCCACUUAUAUUCAUUAUCUAUCCUGUUUAUACUAUAGGGACAUCAAUUGUUUGAGUGUUAAAUAUGAAGACUUUACAGAAACGUGUAGGUUAGAUAGCUUGCAGAGAAGAGGGGGGAAGGUUAUUACUAGCAAAAAUGUUAUUCAAACUCCAUAUUUAAAGAGCAGGAUUUGAUAAAGCUGCUCACUUUUUUUUUUUUUUUUUGAAAGGAGGGCAAAUUCUACGCUAUUCUCUUACAACAUAUUUAAAAUGUACAGUUUACAAAGUACCCUCCAUCUGCCUGUGGCCCUCCCAGUGAUGUCAAUAGGAAUUUUGCAUGCAGAUGAAGGCCUGUAUAUGGCCUUUAGAGAGCAGGUCAGUAAAUGGCUGGAGGAAUAAUUAAAGACUUCUGAGCUGCUCCUUUCCUUUUUCUUACAAUAUAGUACAAGACUGGCAUGAAUAUAGGCUGGGCUACCACUCUAAUUGGCUAUGGAAUAACACUGAAAGGAAUUUAAAUGUGGGCAGUAGCCAUUUUCCAAAUGAUCACUCCAUUACAGUAGUUUUGUCUGUCAAUGCAUGGCCAGGCAGUAGAGUGGAUGUAAUCAUGUCGAAGUCCCCAUCAUUCGCUGCUCUACAGUGGUAACUCUAAGCAGAUUUUCAUGUUUCAAAGGGGCAGCCGGGACAGAGCGCCUGCCUUCAGCAAGUUUACUUCAGCUUAAUCCCAAAUGUCACCCUUUUUCAUCCACGUAGGCAGAACCAGGAUCUCUGGAUAUUUAAUAAAAUCUCAUGACUAUUGAUUAAUACCUUAAUUUAAGUGUUAAUGUAACUGAAAAGCUAGUCAAGAUAACUUUGCUUGCACAAGUAGUCCCACUGGAUCAGUGGAACUACUGACAAGUAGUUUCUUGUGCUGUAAAACGAGCAGGAUUCAAAGAUGGGUUUGUGAAUGUCUACAGAAUACAGAAGCAUUUUCAUUCUCAUAGCCCCUAAAAAAGAUAUCAAGUAAGAAAACUUUGUCUCAUACCUGAAGGUAAGUCCAUUUUGAUUGUAUCUUUUUUUUUUCAAAAUUAACCACAAUGGCAAAAUCCAAUAAGAAUUUCUGAGACGUUAUACAAUGAUGAAAAUAUCAUCAAGCUUAUACUCUGUGCCAUAUUAAAUAGCUUGGACCCAAUUCACCGUGUAUUUCACUAGUGCUACAACCUGCCGUGAUGGAUUUAAAUUAAUUUGGUGCAGUAUGCUAGUGUAAAUGAGAUGAGAAGCAAGCCAAAGGUUUUUAAUGGAGUUUAUCUCUCAUUUUGCUCAAAUUAUUGACAGAUUCUGGUGCCCAAGUGACAUCGUCUUUGGCUCAGUACCAUAUACUAUUGUAAGAUAUUCUGCGAGUUGCUCUAGUAUUGAUUAAGGUGAAAAAAUAUCUCUUCUCUGGAAAUUCAUUUCCAUUUACUUAAAGUUAAAUGGUUUGACUUUGAAUUUUCAUUAUCUGCCGUUGGAAGGAGCCUGUGACAGCUCACCAUCUCUACAAGUGUCCGCUGAAUGUUGCUUCAGUUGCUGCUUCCAAAAUGCAUCAUCGCUGUGGAGCAAAUAAGCUCCUCAGAAGGUGCCCUGCAUAACAGUAAAUGUAGGAAGAGAAGGGAAAUGAAAAAUAACAGAGGAGAAGAAAACAAGAGAAGAUGGACCCGCAGGAAAAAUAUUGUGAACAGAACAGGGAUAAGGAGAUUCCUUAACUGACCCAUACUUUUCUUGCCUGUAAUAUUCCAAGAGCUUUGUAACAUACAAGCCGUGAAAAUAUUUUUCAUAUUAAUACCUCACAUAUAUCAGCUGCCUUAUAUCUCAAGUUAUAUUGCUGGAGUUAUUCCCAAAGGAAUUUAUAUAUGUAUAAUGCGAGAGAAAUAUAUAGUUAGGAAAGAAUUCCUUUUUGCUAUUUAUCAGCAGUGCAUGUUAGAGAAGAGCUGCAGUUAAAAAAAUACAGUUUCUUUCUAGAACUAUAUAAGAUAACAUAAUUUUCUUCUUCAAAUGAUGUCACGUGCUGCAUUUUGUUUUCAUUCCUUUGUAAAAGCAAUGACUGCAGUUGAAAGAAAAUAUUUGGAGUUUAAUUUUAAAUCAAAAAGAACUGGCUGUUCAUCCGUUCAGAAGAAAAACCUCUAAAUAGAACAUGAAGUCAGGAAAAAGACCAUCAAAACUUAAAUAGGAAGUACUCAGAUAUUUUCCAUCUUCACAAUUCCUUGACGUGUACUCAAGGCUCAAAGAGCAGGUGAGGGAAGUGUCUUUUCCGAAAGGUUGCACUGGGAAUGAAGGGCAAGAUUAAGGUAGCCCCCUCCCCCUCUAUAUUUAAAAGAAAAGCAAGCAGAGAGUAAGAUAGAAGGAAAGUGCCUGGGGAAAGUUGCAUCACUAUCGAAGUCAUAAAAGAUGUAUAAGGACAUCAGUGGAAGAACUAGAAAAACUAUUAGAAGAAUGCCCUACAGGGCUAUCCCAGUGGCUCAGCGAUUAGCACACUGUGCUGCCACUGGGAAAAUGCAGCUAAGGUUCAAGGCUGAUCUUAGGAUCUCACUCAUUGGUACUGUCAGCUGAGAGCCUUACGAGGGUGGUGAGUCCACAGUGGAGAAAGACUGAUACAUUGCUCGCAUGACCAAAGGUAGGUAUCUGGGCUCUGUUUUGACCACUGAUGUCAUCUCAGGAAGGAGUGAGGAUUGCGAUUUUUCUACUGUCAAUUAGCCUAAUUCGUUCCCGGUGCGCUAGCAAAGGAGCUCCCUGGCCUACUGCAUAAUGACAAAGGACAGCUGAUUUUCCAAGACUGGAACAUCAGUAUUAAAGUACAUUUCUCGUGUUGUAUACUUUGCCCUGGUCCCACAUUUUAGUGAAUGAGUUCUUUCUUAGCAGCAGAGGUUUCCUGCAGUGUUGAUGGCCCACAAAUUUUCUAGCAGCUCCAGCAGAAGAUCAAGGGACAGCCAGCUAGUUUUCCCAGACUCUGCUUCUGCAGAGAACACGUAAUCUGUGAUGUUCUUCCAGGCAGUUUAGCACCUGUGUAUCCAAUUCCCUUGUCUUCGAGAUCAGUGUAUGCUUCCAAAGUAGCAUAAUCUGCUACUUUAUUGGCAUCAAACUGAGGUCGUGGAGACCACAACUAAAUUGUGCUGCUUCCACCUCCACGAUUCAUAGUACACAGUCUGAUAAGAAGCUUAAUUCAAGGAAGAGGACAACCAAAUCAUGCAGAUACUUUUUUUAUCUCCAGGGCUUCUAAGAGGUAUCAGCAUAUUAUCUUGUGUUCUUACCACAUCCAGAUUUUUGGUCCAGUAAUUCCCUUUGGUCCUGCUCGUCCCUAAGGCAAGUGAAACUUACAAAGGACACAGGGCUAGUCAACACCACUUUUCCUUUUAUUUAUUUAUUUAUCUAUCUUUAUUUGUAGCCUUUGUCAGUGUUCCUAAAACAAAAUAAUCUGUGAAGCAGCUGUUGGUGUGUCCUGAAAAGACAACAUCAAUAGGCAGCUCAAGGUUUUUUGACUGUGCUUAUCCUUUCCCUCACUAAAUUGUCUUUCCCCUGUAAUUCAAAAGAAACAGAAUAUGCUCUUUCUUGUAAUUCUUUUUUUGAUGAGUGAAUCCACUUUAAUUAUAUAUACAGCAAAAAAAGCAUCAAGCUUUCACUCGGAGCUCUUUCAGACAAGUCUAGUACAGUCCAAUGUAGCCUUUCUUCCUUGGUAGCACCAGCAAUGCUCUGCUGGGUCAUGCAGCAGUGAACAUGAAACGAGCAUUCACAACACUACCAAUGCCUGUGUUUCCUUUCUUACAAUCCAAGUUGGAAGUCCCAAUCAGAACCAAACCCACCAGUGUAUAAGUAGGAGCUGGGAUCUCUCAGCAGCAGACAUUGUAAGUGUCCAGUACAGUUUAAAGCUGCGCUACGUCCUUAAAGCCAUGCUUCUCCACAGCUGGUUUGGGGUUUUUUUUUUCCUGUUUUAUAACAGCAGCAUUAUUUUUCCUCUCACUGAAGAAGACAGUGCCAGCAGCAUUAUUUUUCCUCUCACUGAAGAAGACAGUGCAUCGUGUUCCUGCAUAGCGUGGUCCCAGGUGGGCAGCCAUGUGAAUCUGGGACUCUGCGAACAGUUUCUGAAACUUCAAGCUUGUGUGAAAGUCAGAAAUAAAUACUUUGAUCUUUAGUCCUACUGUCUUUUUCAAAAAUAAUCAAGACUUCUAAGGAAAUGUGUGUGUCAAAUAUUUGAAUGCAGGCUAGCCUGCCUGAGAAUGCAUCCUUGAAUAGGUACAGGAAUAUUUAACAGAGCACUGUUCUUAUUAGUUGCAACUGUUUAUUAUUCUAUAAUUCCAGUUCUCACUGUUAAGAAGCUGAUUGUCCAAAUUCCUUCCUUUUUUUUUUCUUAAUCAAGAAAUUCAAGGGUUGUGCGUACUCACAGGAGGCCUUCAAAGUAUAAAUACAUCUCAAAUCUUACUUUUUCCAUUUCAAACUUUUCUUGGGUUAAGAAACAAACAAACCUUUCUAGUAUUUAUACAUGGUCUCUCAGAAACCUUAGAGAGAUAGCCUUAUUCAUGUCAAAGUUAGACUUCCAUCCAUAUUACUUGCAGUUCUGUCAUUGCUAUCCAUACUGUAACCAUUGAGAAGAACUAAGGAGUAUGACAUGCAGCAUUCAACCAAGUGUCCUUACAUUCCUUGCUCAAGGAGUUUAAUGUCAACAAAGCCAGAAAAUAAUCUGAUUUCUUUUCAGUCCAGUGCUAGACCUUUAAAUUUUCUUUUUCACGGGGAGAGUGGGCCCAGGGCUCAGUGCUCGGUCCAGUCCUGUUCAAUGUCUUUAUCAAUGACCUGAAUGAAGGGAUCCAAUGCACCUUAAGUAAGUUUGUGGAUGACACUAAGCUGGGUGGAAGCGUGGAUCUGCUGGAGGGUAGGGAGGCUCUGCAAAGGGAUCAGAACAGGCUGGAUUGAUGGGCUGAGACCAAUAGCGUGAGGUUUAACAAGGCCAAAUGCCGGGUCCUGCUCUUGGGGCACAACAACGCUAUGCAGUGCUACAGACUAGGAGAAGUCUGUCUAGAAAGCUGCCUGGAGGAGGAGGACCUGGGGGUGUUGGUUGACAGUCGUCUGAACAUGAGCCAGCAGUGUGCCCAGGUGGCCAAGAAGGCCAAUGGCAUCUUGGCUUGUAUCAGAAAUGGCGUGACCAGCAGGUCCAGGGAGGGGAUUCUCCCCCUGUACUCGGCACUGGUGAGGCCGCACCUCGAAUCCUGUGUUCAGUUCUGGGCCCCUCACUCCAAAAAGGAUGUUAAGGCUCUGGAGCGUGAACAGAGAGGAGCAACGAAGCUGGUGAGGGGGCUGCAGAACAAGUCUUACAAGGAGCGGCUGAGGAAACUGGGGUUCUUUAGCCUUGAGGAGAGGAGGCUGAAGGGGGACCUUAUUGCUCUCUAUAACUACCUGAAAGGAGGUUGUGGAGAGGAGGGAGCUGGGCUCUUCUCCUAGGUGACAGGGGACAGGACAAAGGGGAAUGGCCUCAAGCUCUGCCAGGGGAAGGUCAGGCUGGACAUCAUGAAAAAAUUUUUCACAGGAAGGGUCAUUGGGCACUGGCAGAGGCUGCCCAGGGAGGGGGUCGAAUCACCUUCCCUGGAGGUGUUUAAAAGACGGGUGGAUGAGGUGCUCAGGGACAUGGUUUAGCAGUUGAUAGGAAUGGUUGGACUCGGUGAUCGUGGAGGUCUUUUCCAACCUAGUGAUUCUAUGAUUCUAUGACUGGUCAGUGAAAGUCACUCCUUGCCAAGGAUAUCAACCUUUUCUUCUCCAUAUGUGAUGCAGAAGAAAAAGCAAGGGAACUCCUCCAGCCAAACUAUCAUUUCUCUUGACAUGGGUCCUUUAUUUUGGAGAAAACUUCCUACGGAUUGUCAGGCAUAUUUCAUUUAAUAUAGAUUUGGCCUUUUCAGUCUGGAAGAAGAAGAAAUAUCAGAGAGUUCAUAUGAGUAGAUGUUAUAACAAUAGCAAUGCAAUGACAGAGUUUUUAGUUGUGACCUGUAAUAAUCACUAUUCAUCUCCUCAGCUUCUCGAUUUCUGCAGCAACUUUGUGGAAAAAUGUUUUUGUUUCAGACUGUAGCAUCACAGGAAGUUUCAUCAUUAAAAAAUAUAAAUGGAAAAAUGAUUUCCUUUAAUUUCGCUAACUCAAUAUUUCUUCCUGAAGUAGUUAAACCACAUACAGAUAAAAAAUAUCAAACAGAUACAAGUAAUUUUGAAUCUUUUGGGGGGUAUUCAGACCAUAUAGCAGUAUUCUAAUAUUCAAAUGUAAUCACUGAAUUAAUCUAAACAUUAUAAUUUUGUCUUGAAGAAUAUUAUUAACAGUCCAUCGUAUUUUUUAUGCCAUCAAUUCAGUAACAGCUUUUCUGUGUGACUGGCCCCUUACUAUAUGCCAACCAAGUACAGCAACUAGAUAUAUACAGAAUAUACUAUAAGCUGUUACUCUUUCUGAAGCUGAACUUUUGAUUUUAAUCAGUCUUACUCAACUAUUGUCAGCUUAUGUAGAAGUACAUAAUUAUGUGGAAGAAGGGGCGAAGAACGGCAUAAUAAAGAUAAUCUAUACAAAAAAACCUUGAAUUAACAAAAUGACUAAUACUGAUAUA
Cuculus canorus (common cuckoo) is the source of this 7315-nucleotide long non-coding RNA. RefSeq lists it as uncharacterized. The transcript has 3 exons. NCBI's taxonomy places the organism in Eukaryota, Metazoa, Chordata, Aves, Cuculiformes, Cuculidae. The record is from RefSeq and is a predicted model, not a curated record.